AGCGAACGCUGGCGGCAGGCCUAACACAUGCAAGUCGAACGCCCCUUCGGGGGAGUGGCGGACGGGUGAGUAACACGUGGGAACCUGCCUUUUGGUUCGGGAUAACCGCGGGAAACUGCGGCUAAUACCGGAUGCUCCCGCGAGGGAAAAGAUUUAUCGCCAGAAGAGGGGCCCGCGUCCGAUUAGGUAGUUGGUGGGGU
RNAcentral lists this ribosomal RNA (200 nucleotides) under uncultured bacterium. Its description in RNAcentral is "partial 16S ribosomal RNA". It matches the Rfam family "Bacterial small subunit ribosomal RNA", at positions 29 to 258 of the family's 1533-position model. The record is from RNAcentral.